Molecule: ribosomal RNA, 208 nt
Filed under: Echinococcus multilocularis
Lineage: Eukaryota; Metazoa; Platyhelminthes; Cestoda; Cyclophyllidea; Taeniidae
Description: partial 12S ribosomal RNA
Source: RNAcentral
UGUGAGUGAUUCUUGUUAGGGGAAGAUGCGAUAGUAAAGGAUGGUCCACCUAUUAAUUUACUCUUUUUAUGUUGGUGUAUGUCUGGUUUGAUAUUAUUGUUUAGUAAUGUAAGUUUGUGUAGUUUUAGUUAAGCUAAGUCUAUGUGCUGCUUAUAAGAGUUUUUGUGUGUUACAGUUGAUAGGAAUAUUGUUGUAAUAUGGUAUUGUA